Molecule: long non-coding RNA, 1411 nt
Organism: Anthonomus grandis grandis
Lineage: Eukaryota; Metazoa; Arthropoda; Insecta; Coleoptera; Curculionidae
Exons: 2
Source: RefSeq, a predicted model, not a curated record
UAUAGCUUACAAUUUUUAAACAUUUAUUGCUAAUGGAAAACUUUACCAAUCAAGAAUUGGCGGAUAUGCAUUUGGCAUAGGGAGCAACAAACUGCAAUGCACGAGCAGCAUCGCAGUUGUAUCAUAAACGUUAUCCCGAACGACAGCAUCCUGGAUACAAAAAGUUUAUUGGUGUUUUAUCGGACUGGCAUGUUUAAGACCAAGAUGCAUGAUAAUGGUGUUGCUCGAACCGUAAGAACGGUCGAAUUUGAAGAAGAGGUGCUGCAGCGAGUUGCCGACGUCGCUAAAAAUAUGAAUACGAGUAACGCUUCUGUCUGGCGGGUACUACACAAGCAACAACUCCAUCCUUACCACUUCCAGAAAGUUCAAGGUAUGACUGCAGCCGAUUAUCAUCCUAGAGUUCAAUUUUGUCGAUGACUUCUGAAUCACAUCAUUGCACAACCAAAUUUUUUUACGAUAUGUUUUGUGGACCGAAGAAGCCUCUUUCACAAGAGACGGUAUUUUUAAUAGUAGGAGAUAAUAGAGAAGUAAAUCCUUAUGCAAUUUUUCCAAGAAAACAUCAGAAUCGUUGGUUUAACAACGUAUGGGCAGGCAUUGUUGAUGAUUAUUUAAUUGGGCCAUACCUUCUGCCGGAACGGUUAACAGGACCUAUUUAUCUGCGUUUCUUGGAGAAAGUUCUCCCAGAACUCCUUGAAAAUGUUCCACUAAACGUUAGACAGCAAAUGUGGUUUCAGCAUGAUGGAGCGCCGGCUCACUUUGCUAUACAAGUACGCGAGUAUUUGGCUCAGCGGUUUGGACACCAUUAGAUUGCCAGAGGUGGAGCAGUUUCUUGGCCUCUUAGGUCACCCGAUUUAACGUCGCUCGAUUUUUUCUUGUGGGGAGAUGUAAAGUCUUUAGUCUAUGAAACUCCAGUAGAAUCAGAGCUAGACUUAAUUGGACAAAUAACAGCAGCAUUUGAAAUCAUUCAAAACGAGGAUCAAAUUUUUAGUGUAGUCCGCCGAAAUCAUGUGUGGCGUUUAAAUCGGUGUAUUGAGGUUGGAGGAAAACAUUUUGAACAAUUGUUGUGAUGGUAUCAUAUACAAAAGGGCCGUAGGAUUCUACUGUUGCACUGAACAACCCCUAGAAGUUUGAUCCCAUACUUCUGAAACACCCUUUAUAGACAGAUACAAAUAAAUUAUGAGUGAUGUAUUGAAAAACCAUUGAUGGAAUAUUUUCUCGGACUUGACAAGAAAAACCCGAUAUUGACCUUUAAACCCGCACUGACUAUAUAUUUCCCCAAAGAAAAAGUACCAACAAGCUUCUAAAUAGAGCAGCUUCGGUACUAAUCGUUUAUUUCUUUCUUGUACUUAAAGUAGGAUAAGUAUUUUGUAUUUAAAUUUUGUAAUUUUGGAAAUAAACGUGAUAUAGUACA